Molecule: ribosomal RNA, 301 nt
Filed under: uncultured bacterium
Lineage: Bacteria
Description: partial 16S ribosomal RNA
Rfam family: Bacterial small subunit ribosomal RNA
Source: RNAcentral
CAGUCGCCGCGGGAACACGGAGGGUGCAAGCGUUAUCCGGAUUUAUUGGGUUUAAAGGGUCCGUAGGCGGAUCUGUAAGUCAGUGGUGAAAUCUCACAGCUUAACUGUGAAACUGCCAUUGAUACUGCAGGUCUUGAGUAAAUUUGAAGUGGCUGGAAUAAGUAGUGUAGCGGUGAAAUGCAUAGAUAUUACUUAGAACACCAAUUGCGAAGGCAGGUCACUAAGAUUUAACUGACGCUGAUGGACGAAAGCGUGGGGAGCGAACAGGAUUAGAUACCCCUGUAGUCCCUGUCUCUUAUAA